This 950-nucleotide ribosomal RNA is filed under the name Pseudoalteromonas sp. WH10-1-1. Its description in RNAcentral is "bacterial SSU rRNA". It matches the Rfam family "Bacterial small subunit ribosomal RNA", at positions 69 to 1015 of the family's 1533-position model. Lineage: Bacteria; Pseudomonadati; Pseudomonadota; Gammaproteobacteria; Alteromonadales; Pseudoalteromonadaceae. The record is from RNAcentral.
GUAACAGAGAGUAGCUUGCUACUUUGCUGACGAGCGGCGGACGGGUGAGUAAUGCUUGGGAACAUGCCUUGAGGUGGGGGACAACAGUUGGAAACGACUGCUAAUACCGCAUAAUGUCUACGGACCAAAGGGGGCUUCGGCUCUCGCCUUUAGAUUGGCCCAAGUGGGAUUAGCUAGUUGGUGAGGUAAUGGCUCACCAAGGCGACGAUCCCUAGCUGGUUUGAGAGGAUGAUCAGCCACACUGGGACUGAGACACGGCCCAGACUCCUACGGGAGGCAGCAGUGGGGAAUAUUGCACAAUGGGCGCAAGCCUGAUGCAGCCAUGCCGCGUGUGUGAAGAAGGCCUUCGGGUUGUAAAGCACUUUCAGUCAGGAGGAAAGGUUAACGGUUAAUACCCGCUAGCUGUGACGUUACUGACAGAAGAAGCACCGGCUAACUCCGUGCCAGCAGCCGCGGUAAUACGGAGGGUGCGAGCGUUAAUCGGAAUUACUGGGCGUAAAGCGUACGCAGGCGGUUUGUUAAGCGAGAUGUGAAAGCCCCGGGCUCAACCUGGGAACUGCAUUUCGAACUGGCAAACUAGAGUGUGAUAGAGGGUGGUAGAAUUUCAGGUGUAGCGGUGAAAUGCGUAGAGAUCUGAAGGAAUACCGAUGGCGAAGGCAGCCACCUGGGUCAACACUGACGCUCAUGUACGAAAGCGUGGGGAGCAAACGGGAUUAGAUACCCCGGUAGUCCACGCCGUAAACGAUGUCUACUAGAAGCUCGGAGCCUCGGUUCUGUUUUUCAAAGCUAACGCAUUAAGUAGACCGCCUGGGGAGUACGGCCGCAAGGUUAAAACUCAAAUGAAUUGACGGGGGCCCGCACAAGCGGUGGAGCAUGUGGUUUAAUUCGAUGCAACGCGAAGAACCUUACCUACACUUGACAUACAGAGAACUUACCAGAGAUGGUUUGGU